CUCUUCGGAGAUACUCGAGUGGCGAACGGGUGAGUAACACGUGGGUGAUCUGCCCUGCACUUCGGGAUAAGCCUGGGAAACUGGGUCUAAUACCGGAUAGGACCACGGGAUGCAUGUCUUGUGGUGGAAAGCGCUUUAGCGGUGUGGGAUGAGCCCGCGGCCUAUCAGCUUGUUGGUGGGGUGACGGCCUACCAAGGCGACGACGGGUAGCCGGCCUGAGAGGGUGUCCGGCCACACUGGGACUGAGAUACGGCCCAGACUCCUACGGGAGGCAGCAGUGGGGAAUAUUGCACAAUGGGCGCAAGCCUGAUGCAGCGACGCCGCGUGGGGGAUGACGGCCUUCGGGUUGUAAACCUCUUUCACCAUCGACGAAGGUCCGGGUUCUCUCGGAUUGACGGUAGGUGGAGAAGAAGCACCGGCCAACUACGUGCCAGCAGCCGCGGUAAUACGUAGGGUGCGAGCGUUGUCCGGAAUUACUGGGCGUAAAGAGCUCGUAGGUGGUUUGUCGCGUUGUUCGUGAAAUCUCACGGCUUAACUGUGAGCGUGCGGGCGAUACGGGCAGACUAGAGUACUGCAGGGGAGACUGGAAUUCCUGGUGUAGCGGUGGAAUGCGCAGAUAUCAGGAGGAACACCGGUGGCGAAGGCGGGUCUCUGGGCAGUAACUGACGCUGAGGAGCGAAAGCGUGGGGAGCGAACAGGAUUAGAUACCCUGGUAGUCCACGCCGUAAACGGUGGGUACUAGGUGUGGGUUUCCUUCCUUGGGAUCCGUGCCGUAGCUAACGCAUUAAGUACCCCGCCUGGGGAGUACGGCCGCAAGGCUAAAACUCAAAGGAAUUGACGGGGGCCCGCACAAGCGGCGGAGCAUGUGGAUUAAUUCGAUGCAACGCGAAGAACCUUACCUGGGUUUUGACAUGCACAGG
This 920-nucleotide ribosomal RNA is filed under the name Mycobacterium tuberculosis. RNAcentral's name for it is "bacterial SSU rRNA". It matches the Rfam family "Bacterial small subunit ribosomal RNA", at positions 76 to 994 of the family's 1533-position model. Lineage: Bacteria; Bacillati; Actinomycetota; Actinomycetes; Mycobacteriales; Mycobacteriaceae. The record is from RNAcentral.